RNAcentral lists this ribosomal RNA (460 nucleotides) under uncultured bacterium. RNAcentral describes it as "partial 16S ribosomal RNA". It matches the Rfam family "Bacterial small subunit ribosomal RNA", at positions 338 to 795 of the family's 1533-position model. The record is from RNAcentral.
CCUACGGGAGACAGCAGUGAGGAAUAUUGGUCAAUGGGCGGAAGCCUGAACCAGCCAAGUCGCGUGCAGGAUGACGGCCCUACGGGUUGUAAACUGCUUUUAUACGGGAAUAACGCGCCUUACGUGUAGGGCUUUGCAUGUACCGUAUGAAUAAGGACCGGCUAAUUCCGUGCCAGCAGCCGCGGUAAUACGGAAGGUCCGGGCGUUAUCCGGAUUUAUUGGGUUUAAAGGGUGCGUAGGCCGGAUGUCAAGCCUGCUGUGAAAUGUCCGGGCUCAACCCGGGCCUUGCAGCGCAAACUGGCGUGCUUGAGUCCGCGGAAAGCAGGCGGAAUGCGUGGUGUAGCGGUGAAAUGCUUAGAUAUGACGAAGAACCCCGAUUGCGAAGGCAGCUUGCUGGAGCGGAACUGACGCUGAUGCUCGAAAGCGCGGGGAUCGAACAGGAUUAGAUACCCGGGUAGUC